RNAcentral lists this ribosomal RNA (497 nucleotides) under uncultured bacterium. Its description in RNAcentral is "partial 16S ribosomal RNA". It matches the Rfam family "Bacterial small subunit ribosomal RNA", at positions 28 to 507 of the family's 1533-position model. The record is from RNAcentral.
GAUGAACGCUGGCGGCGUGCCUAAUACAUGCAAGUCGAGCGAACAGACGAGGAGCUUGCUCCUCUGACGUUAGCGGCGGACGGGUGAGUAACACGUGGAGAACCUACCUAUAAGACUGGGAUAACUUCGGGAAACCGGAGCUAAUACCGGAUAAUAUAUUGAACCGCAUGGUUCAAUAGUGAAAGACGGUUUUGCUGUCACUUAUAGAUGGAUCCGCGCCGCAUUAGCUAGUUGGUAAGGUAACGGCUUACCAAGGCAACGAUGCGUAGCCGACCUGAGAGGGUGAUCGGCCACACUGGAACUGAGACACGGUCCAGACUCCUACGGGAGGCAGCAGUAGGGAAUCUUCCGCAAUGGGCGAAAGCCUGACGGAGCAACGCCGCGUGAGUGAUGAAGGUCUUCGGAUCGUAAAACUCUGUUAUUAGGGAAGAACAAAUGUGUAAGUAACUAUGCACGUCUUGACGGUACCUAAUCAGAAAGCCACGGCUAACUACGUG